GCAAGCGUCUUGGCCGCUCACCUUUCACUCUUGGAGGUAAGCUCCGAGAGUUCAGCCAUCCAGUCAACAGUAGCAACUCCGACGCGCCAGGCCAUCUUCAGCUUGAAUGACUGAAGCCUCGUCAAGGAAGCCAGACACUCUCUAAGAUGGACGGACCACGGGCACUCACGGAGCAAAUGGUCCAUUGUCUCCGGGUUCCCACGAGCAAAUGGUUGUUGAUGUUUUCAUCGUUACAUAGUGUAUGCAGUGUACGUACUCUGUUCCAACAAUGCAAAUCCGAGCUUUAUUGUGGGUUAGUUUAGUUCUGGUUAGCCUUGACUAGUACUACUCGGUUUUAUGCAGUGUACGUACUCUGUUCCAACAAUGCAAAUCCGAGCUUUAUUGUGGAAAUUGGUUGCAAUAUGUUUAAAUAAAAUUGUUUAUAUGUUCAACGAUGUUUAAAUAAAAU
Molecule: long non-coding RNA, 448 nt
Filed under: Hordeum vulgare
Lineage: Eukaryota; Viridiplantae; Streptophyta; Magnoliopsida; Poales; Poaceae
Description: long non-coding RNA (HVUL_LNC008204)
Source: RNAcentral